AGAACGAACGCUGGCGGCGUGGAUAAGACAUGCAAGUCGAACGCGAUUUAUCGAGUUAGCAAUAACUUGGUAAAUUGAGUGGCGAAAGGGUGCGUAACACGUGGGAAUUUACCGAGAAGUGGGGAAUAGCUUGACGAAAGUCAAAUUAAUACCGCAUGUGAUCGAAAGAUCAAAGCCGGGGACCGCAAGGCCUGGCGCUUCUUGAGAAGCCCGCGGCCCAUCAGCUAGUUGGCGGGGUAAAAGCCCACCAAGGCUAUGACGGGUAGCUGGUCUGAGAGGACGACCAGCCACACUGGAACUGAGACACGGUCCAGACACCUACGGGUGGCAGCAGUCGAGAAUUUUUUCACAAUGGACGAAAGUCUGAUGGAGCGACGCCGCGUGGAGGAUGAAGGUUCUUGGAUUGUAAACUCCUGUCACUGCAGAACAAGGCUACGCAUAUGAAUAGUACGCGUAGUUGAUGGUAUGCGGAGAGGAAGGGACGGACGUAACGUCUGUGACCG
RNAcentral lists this ribosomal RNA (503 nucleotides) under uncultured bacterium. Its description in RNAcentral is "SSU rRNA". It matches the Rfam family "Bacterial small subunit ribosomal RNA", at positions 26 to 511 of the family's 1533-position model. The record is from RNAcentral.